UCCUGCUAGUCUAUUCCAUUUUAUGGCAGCUACCCCGUUACCCUUUUUUUCCUAUUUCUCCAUUCCCUGAUUAAGAUUUCUUCCAGAUUUUGAUUGUUUUGCUUAUUAAAGUGGCCGAUCAAGGACCAACUUGAUCUCUCACCUACUUUCUCCAUUUUCACUCAUCACUAUCCUCCCUCUCUUUUCAAUCUGGGUGGUGUAUUUCUUUUCAAUUUAGAUCUGUGAAUUGUUGUUAGUGAUUUUUUUUUCGGGUUUCUUUUUAUCACUUUCGAUUGGAAAAAUGGCAG
This 287-nucleotide unclassified non-coding RNA is filed under the name Hevea brasiliensis (rubber tree). The record is from RNAcentral. Lineage: Eukaryota; Viridiplantae; Streptophyta; Magnoliopsida; Malpighiales; Euphorbiaceae.